AUGGUUUCUUUUUCUCCAUUUUCAGGGAUGUUGUCCUUAAAGCUGCUGUGUCAUAACAGUCUGCUAAGAGAAGUGAAUAUGCACAGUCCUUAUGUUUUGUACGCUGUGAUGCUUAGGGAUGAUCUUCUUUUCCAAUUGCUAGUUGUUUUCAUUGGUAUAAACCAAGAUCAAAGAAGCAGAAGGUGGAGGAGAGAACUUGCUGCAAAUCGCCCAAAUCAGCUUUUGGAGGAGGGACUGGGGGACCUGCCUGCAACUGGGAAUCCUUGUGCACCUUCAGAUCUAUGAAGGCUCUUCCCCUGGAGAUGUAUAGGACACCAUCUGUUCAAACCAACUGCCAAAUAUUUUUGUGUGUACGUGUGUGUGUAUAAGCCUAUGUAUAAAGAAAAAAUAUACUAGUAAGAAAGCCUGAGACUUUUCUGUGGUUGUGAUAUCACCUGCGUUGUUACACUACACUGUUUUAUAUAUUCCUGUACCUGAAGCAGAGAUAAGACAUUACUCUUCCUUUUUCAGCUGAGAUAGUAUGAGGGCUGCUCCAAAAGUAAUGCCUCCUAUGUUAUUAUGUUGGCUCACAGCAUCAGAGGUGGAUACUGGUGGUAUGGUAAAAGAGGUUGAACCUCCCAACCAAUACUCCAUUGCCGUGUGACAGGUGGCAGCGGUGGGGCAGUCUGACAGAAUGGUGUCUGAAAUGGAAGAGUGAAGCAAAGGUGUGGAACUGCAUUCCUCCGCGUGAAAAGAAUGGCACCCACUGACAUUAAUUGACACUUGCUGAAUGUUUACAAAGACCAAACAAUGGAUGUGUGUGAUGCAUUUCAGCAGUGGUGACAGUGACUUGAAAGACAAGCCACAUUCUAGCCAGUUACACACAGCUGUCACACUACAAAAUAAAGAGGGUCUUGAUCAGCUCA
This 905-nucleotide long non-coding RNA is filed under the name Numida meleagris (helmeted guineafowl). RNAcentral's name for it is "lncRNA (ENSNMEG00000001855.1)". Lineage: Eukaryota; Metazoa; Chordata; Aves; Galliformes; Numididae. The record is from RNAcentral.